AUUGAACGCUGGCGGCAUGCCUUACACAUGCAAGUCGAACGGCAGCACGGGAGCAAUCCUGGUGGCGAGUGGCGAACGGGUGAGUAAUAUAUCGGAACGUGCCCAGUCGUGGGGAUAACGUAGCGAAAGCUACGCUAAUACCGCAUACGAUCUACGGAUGAAAGCGGGGGAUCGCAAGACCUCGCGCGAUUGGAGCGGCCGAUAUCAGAUUAGGUAGUUGGUGAGGUAAAGGCUCACCAAGCCGACGAUCUGUAGCUGGUCUGAGAGGACGACCAGCCACACUGGGACUGAGACACGGCCCAGACUCCUACGGGAGGCAGCAGUGGGGAAUUUUGGGACAAUGGGCGCAAGCCUGAUCCAGCAAUGCCGCGUGCAGGAUGAAGGCC
This 386-nucleotide ribosomal RNA is filed under the name uncultured bacterium. RNAcentral's name for it is "bacterial SSU rRNA". It matches the Rfam family "Bacterial small subunit ribosomal RNA", at positions 29 to 416 of the family's 1533-position model. The record is from RNAcentral.